AUUGGCUCCCUACUCUGAGGCUGAGCCCACCCCCUCUCCCUCGUUUUGGCCGAGGGGCCGCCAAUCAAGGUGACUGACGUGUGGUUCCUCCUCUUCCAUCGGUUCCUCCUCCGGCCUGAUAACCUCCUGACCUUUACGGACUUGGGACUCAACUCACCCCGCCAGUGUUUGUAGGACAAGUACAGUAACUCAGAAACAUCCCUCUCUUCUUUGACCUUUCACACAUUUUUAGGGGAACAAAUGUAUUUUGGGAAACUAAAUUUGGGUGUCAGCAUAAAUUUCAAAUAACAUAAGCAACACAUGACCUUAUUUAGACUGAACUUGUGCUCAUUACGUUUUAACCUUUUAAAUAUUUGACUUAUUUGAGGUUUUAUUUCAGGGUUUUUUAAUCUAAUAAACCUCAUAAAAGAUGCAUUAUUUGUUGCAUUGUGACUAUUCAGUCAGUUAUUUACUUCCUCAAUAAACAGUAUCACUAAUGUAUGGAGCCCAGGAGGAGCCAUGGAGAAAAAAACUGACUAAUCUGUGCUCUUCAUUUAAUAAUUUGUGGUCUCGAUUUGAUAAUUUGUGCUUUCUGCUCUCAUACGUGACUGACGUUACAGGGGAAAUGUCUUCGUCACUCUCUUCAAACUUCUGGCUGACUGGAUGCAUUUGGUGCCCUCCACAACAGGGAAACAGACAAAAUAGAUAAAUCAAGAGCACUAAUUCAGUAAUCCAUGGGCAAGAAUUAUUAAAUCAAGAGCACAAAUUAGUUGUUUUUUUUCUCCGUAGCCCUUUCUGGGCUCCGUAGUCAUACCUAUGAUUUUUACAACAUCUUCAACAAACUUCUCUCUGUAAAAUAACUU
Long non-coding RNA from Thunnus maccoyii (southern bluefin tuna), 842 nucleotides. RefSeq lists it as uncharacterized. The transcript has 3 exons. Lineage: Eukaryota; Metazoa; Chordata; Actinopteri; Scombriformes; Scombridae. The record is from RefSeq and is a predicted model, not a curated record.